GCCGGUGUAGCUCAGCGGUAGAGCAAUGCUUUCGUAAAGCAUGGGCCGUCAGUUCGAUCCUGACCACCGGCU
This is a non-coding RNA of Ktedonobacter sp. 13_2_20CM_2_56_8, 72 nucleotides long. NCBI's taxonomy places the organism in Bacteria, Bacillati, Chloroflexota, Ktedonobacteria, Ktedonobacterales, Ktedonobacteraceae. The record is from Rfam.